Molecule: RNA transcript, 1855 nt
Organism: Daktulosphaira vitifoliae (grape phylloxera)
Lineage: Eukaryota; Metazoa; Arthropoda; Insecta; Hemiptera; Phylloxeridae
Gene: qkr54B
Gene name: KH domain-containing, RNA-binding, signal transduction-associated protein 2
Exons: 9
Source: RefSeq, a predicted model, not a curated record
AGUGUAAUAAAAAUAAUUUGAUGGAGUAUCAACUAAAAAAAUAACUACAAAUUAAAUGAAAUUAUGGAAUUCGCAUCUAAAAUUUGAUUAACCAUGCAGAAAAGCAGUUGCUAUCAAAAUGAUACAAAAAAUUCAGUCAUAGAUUAUAAUAAUAUUGAUGAUUUGAUUUCAUCGGUGUCCACUGCAAAUGAUGAACAGGUUCUCAAAGUUCUAGAAUUAUUAAUUACAACAAUGUCUUCAAAUGAAGUUAAUGAUAGUUCAAAUGGUGAUGUAGCUACAGAAUCUAAACCAAAUGAAUACAUUUCUUCUUUAGUGAAAGAAAAGUAUGCUUUGGACUCAGAUAGUCAUCCAAAUGCAAUGAAGUUAAUUGAUAAUGAAAUUUCAAGAGCUCAGAGUAGUAAUGUUAAACCAGAAUCUACUUAUUUAGAUAUUAAUAGUGAUAAACCCAUUCGACUUACUACUAAAAUUAUGGUUCCAGUUAAAGAAUUUCCUAGGUUUAAUUUUGUUGGAAAAUUGUUAGGACCAAAAGGAAAUUCAUUAAAGAGAUUACAAGAAGAUACAAUGACUAAAAUGGCUAUUUUAGGCAAAGGAUCAAUGCGUAACAAAGAAAAGGAAGAUGAAAUGAGAAACUCUUUAAAUCCUAAAUUUUCUCAUUUAGCUGAUGAGCUUCAUGUUCAAGUUACUGCUUAUGCACCUCCUGCUGAAGCAUAUGCACGUGUUGCUUAUGCUCUAGCAGAACUUAGAAAAUUUUUAAUACCUGACCACAAUGAUCAAAUAGCUCAAGAACAAGCACGUGAGAUGCAACAGUUUGGUGGAGUUCCACCUGUUCGUCAUCCUGGUCCAAUUAUUCAUGCCCCGCCACCAGUUAUUCGACCCAUGCCUCCUCAGCCAGUUAGAAUGCCCAGAGCACCAGUUCCAGGAAAAGCAAAAGUGCUAAGCAUAUUAGAUAGAGCUCGUUCAGCUAUGGAAGGAAAUAAUGCUUUUCCUGGUAACGGAGGCUAUGGUGAUUCAGCAACAUCACAUUAUUCUCAUUAUGACUCUGGUUAUGGUGGAGUAGCUACAUAUAAUGGAGGUGGUAAUGAUGAAUAUUACUCUGGAAAUUCAUUUGCCCAAGAUGUUAAUCCUUCAUCUAGUGCCCGUGGCUGGAAAAACUAUAAUACUGGCGGCAAUGGUGGUGUUGGACCAUCAAAACAGACUGGAAAUCAAGGUGGUCGAUAUGGAGGUCGUAAUGCUCCGUACGCUAGACAGAAAUAAUCAGCUUUGAAAACCAAUUUAAAGAAGAGAAGAUGUUUAUUCGGUGCAUAAAAUUUUGUGUUGAACAAUAAUUUAGUUCUGAAGUAUAUUCAGUGACUAAUAUAAUUUUUGUUUAAAACUAAAUGGCGAGGUUAAAUAAAAAUUUAAAUCAUGUGCGUGAUAAAAUUAAUUUUAUACCAUUAAUGAAUAAAAAAUAAUUUGUGGCAAGUCGUUUAAAAGUAAAAUACUAUUUUUAUAUUAAAAUCAAUCAUGUUAAAAUGAUUUAAAAAUUAAAUACAAUAUUACAUCUCUAAUGAUAUUGAAAAGCCAAACAUUUGAAUGAAAUAAAAAAUAACAGAGUUUAUGAAACUGAGUCAUAAUGGUGACAUGUAAAAGGCUAAUAUAUUAUAGGAUGUAUAUUUUGAAAAUUUUAUAAAAUUUUUGUAUAAAUUUUAAUAAAUUAAUUAGUAAGUUAAUUUUUUAACCAAAAAUAAAACACAAAUAUAUAAGAAGACUGAUAAUCAAUUAUUAAGACUGAUUUUUUAACUUUUAUUUUGUUAUUGACAUUCUCUUUUGAUAUAUGUGAACAAAUUUUCAUAAUAAUAAAAAAGUGUUAUUAUAA